AGUGAACGCUGGCGGCGUGCCUAAUACAUGCAAGUCGAACGGAGCGGCGCACGGGUGAGUAAUAUAUAGCUAAUCUGCCCCUUGCUGGAGGACAACAGUUAGAAAUGACUGCCAAUACUCCAUAGCAAGGGAUGUGACUAUAUCGUAUUAGCUAGUCGGUGGGGUAACGGCCUACCGAGGCUAUGACGCGUAACUUGUCUGCGAGGAUGAUCAGUCACAUUGGAAGUGAGGCACGAUCCAGGCACCUGCGGGAGGGAGCGGAAGGGUGUAUUGCGCAAUGGGGGUGACCCUAGCGCGGCAACGCCGCGUAAAGGAUUACACUUUUCGAAGCAUAAGCUCCUUUUGUUAGGGAAGCGGUACCUAACGAAUAAGCACCGGCUAACUCCGUGCCAGCAGCCGCGGUAAUAC
Molecule: ribosomal RNA, 408 nt
Filed under: uncultured bacterium
Lineage: Bacteria
Description: partial 16S ribosomal RNA
Rfam family: Bacterial small subunit ribosomal RNA
Source: RNAcentral